Molecule: long non-coding RNA, 6257 nt
Organism: Eleginops maclovinus (Patagonian blennie)
Lineage: Eukaryota; Metazoa; Chordata; Actinopteri; Perciformes; Eleginopidae
Exons: 4
Source: RefSeq, a predicted model, not a curated record
AAUUGAAUUGUGAAACCAGCCAAAUCAGACUAUGGACUCUCAACCAGACAAUAACACAGUUAACAAUAUCACAUGAGUUAUCUUUUUCUCCAGUAUUUGUAAUGACAAAAGCCCCACAGUGUUGUAGUUAGCAGCUAGCAGCAGCAUGGAGAGACGAAAUGAGUUCUUCUGUCAAACAAGGGCAGAUGGAUAUUAUAAGACAUGGAUAUAUCGACCACUCCACCUCCCUAAAAAGAAAGGAGAAAGAGCUUCAAUGUCAAACAACAUGUAUCCCACAUGAGGAGUGACACAGUCCUGGAGUAGGCAUAUCCAAGGGCUGGUUCGCAAAUUAGAGGAGUUGAGAGUGAACAGGAAAGGUGACAACACAGAUCCCUGAGUCAUCCCUUGGAGGUGCAGUUUGGUGUAAUUUCUCUCCCUUUGAACCCCAGCAAGAUGUCAAUGUGCUUCAUUGUCUCAGUUCCAGACCAGUCACGAGGCAAGAAGACAUGUGUCGCUUGAUCUAAUGGCAGAGGACUAAUUGCAUUCUGGGAUACAUGCCUGGAAUUCACAAUGUUCAACAAAAAACAUGUUGUGCAGGCAGACCACAUACAACAUCGGGACAAUUAAUAACCCUCCUUCAGGGGAGAACAUUUGGAUUGUCCAGCCUCCCUGAAGACUGCACUGCUGCCUUUAUUGAUAUCUGUGGCCAGAUAGAGACAGGCCUGCCAUCCCUAGGCAGCUUGACUCCACUUGGGCUCCACUGUGACUGGACUGUUAUGAGGCCAACUUAGCCAGCCUGCUCCAAUCAUAGGAGCACAAACAAGCCCCUAACCACACUGAAUGCUAAGCCAGAUCAGUCUCGGGGGUGGUUUGUCAGGUUUUGCAGGGAUAACAUAGCAUGAGAUUAUUUUUUUUCUCUCUUGCACUCACUCUCGCCGUCUCUCUCCCUCUAUUUCGAUUUCUGUGUCUGUUAUUUUGAAUUCACAUCUCUCUGAGGAGGAGAAUGCCUUUUUUGACACAUGCUGACACACGCACACACUCGCAUCCAUACAUAGUGGCAUAGACACGAAUACGCUGGGUGCUUACACCCACACACACUCUCACCUCCUAUCUCCUCUCGACACAAGCAGCCAAAGCAUUCAGGCUCUCCAUUUAUUUGGUUCAGAUGUGGUUCAGCGGUAAAAUUAAGAUGAGGUGUUGACAAGCUAAUGCUGAAAUAACAAGACCUACUAAUUUGUGGCGAGCCUUAUGGAGCCUGUGCCAUCAAAUGCUGCUGGAGCCCAGUAUUAAGGUGAUGAAGUGUAACAUUUUAAACUGGCACAAUCAUAGGGCAAAGCUCUCAUUACCAUGAGGACACCGGUGGCACAUUAUGAAAAGCAAUAAACAUGCCCCCCCCCCUCCAUGCCUCAUGCUACUGCAUCUAUCACACUGGCAACAUAUGGGUGCCCGCAGGAGUGGCUGUUCUUAGCUGCCUGGGGUUUGCUAAGAACUCUGUCAUAGCCAGUGUAAAAGGUAAUGUUGUUUUCUUAACCAAAUCUAAUUUUUUACCAGCAGGAAGUCAAUGUUUGUUAGUGUAUAACCUUUAGUAGUGUCACUGAGGCUUCUGUCUUAGGUGAAAACAUGCAAAACGGUUUUGCUAGGCGUGUUUAGGGUUAUGGUUAUAAAGAGGCAGUGGCAGGCAGACAGAAUCUGUGCUGUUUGUGUGUUGUGUGGAGGGAGGUUAUCCUCUGUGAAUAUAACCUCGUUCUCUCAUUUUACAGCACACAACCCGGUCAGGCUAGUCAGGAUUUAGAGUAUUACCCAGGCUAAAUCAGCCACAGCUGCUCAAAAUAAAAAUGGUAUAUCAGAUUAGACAGAAAGAUUAGAGAGGGAAUAAAAACCCCAACAAUAUGUUAUCCUCUUCUUGGAUCUGCAGGAUAUGAUGAGGGUCAAAGAUCAACACACACUUACUUAAAACCGAAAUAUGUCACCGUCUUCAAAAUGUCGCUCAGCAUGGCCAAGCAUGCACCAAUCUGAAAGCUAUUGACCAUGAUGUCGGCAUUCACUGAGGGGGUGAAGAGGCACAAAGCUGCACUAAUUUGUCUUGACGAGAAAACAGCUGUAAACACCCCCAAGGGGGGCUCCGAGAUAAGUACCGUGUUGUGGCGAUGGUAUCAGAUGGCAGCAAUGUCCCACCCAGUCACCAUACUACAUUUUCAGGUGUUCUAUACACCCUGUUGUGCCUAUUAAUCAGAGCUGACAUUGAAUAGACACAGCAGCACAAAGCUAAUUGACCGUACGCCAGGUGAACACAAACUUCUGUGUUCACAGAUCCUGUCCAUUGUCUAUUCAGAGCCUUUGGUUUGUGUGGCUUUUUUGAUUUUCUUAUUUUUGUUCUUUUUCUUUUGUCUUUUUAACAGAAGCAGGCCUCCAAACAAAGAUAAGUCAUUUUGCACAGCAGGUUAAUAAGAUUGAAAUGAAAUCUCUGGCAGGGUGUUGUCCAUUACACUUAUUGUGCUUCAUGCUAUGGAAGCAGGGGAAAAAUGUGUCAAGCAUUCAAAAACAUGCAGCUCAGAAAUGUGUAAUCAAUACAGCACACUCGGUCCAAAAUGCCCAGACUAAAAGAAUAUUUGUUACCGACUUGGGUUGCCUCAAGCAAUCAUAGUCAAUGUAAAAUGUUUGAUUUCCCAAUUCAGGUACAUUUAAAAUAAUGUUUUUCAGCGGUCAAUGCUUUUCAGGCAAAAAUGAAAUGUGUUAAAAGGUGCACUUUGUUGAUUCGGGAGGAAAUACAAUUGUUAAUGGCAAAUACCAAAAAGGAUUUGAAGCUGGAACGCUUGUCCUCUCCUUAAAAUGUAGCCCCUGCAGGCAGAGGAAAGAAAAAUCAAUGAGUGAACCAAAAAUGUUUAAAUAUGUCCUGCACUGUUUAGAGUUUAUGACUGUGUGAUCGUCUCUUUCAUUGUGAUAAUGGUUGUCCCUUUUAUAUUUUUUAGCAUACAUUAUAUGAACAGUUUUGCGCAAUUAAUGUCUACCUUUAUUAUACAAGGAAAUAUCAAAAGAUGGAAUAACUGUCUAUAGUUUUUACUUUGAUCAAAUUCCAUUAUGCAGUAGUUGUAUUUUCGUAUAACCUGCGAUAUUGAAAGUGUAUUUGUAUAUACCUGUAUAUCCACUUUAAAGAGAGUACUUUAACAAAGAGCCAUUUAGAGUUUAAAUUGUGAAUGUAUCAUGCGGACACUUUGAACAUGAGAGGACUAUACAUAAAGCCUGUUAAUUGCCAUCUAACAGCAUACAUAUCUAAACCAAUUAUGCACAAAUACAACAAGCUUCUCUUAAACAUGUUUCAUUUCAGCAGCAAAUGGGUCAUUGGGUUACUAAUUAUUAAUUGUUCAAACACCAAACUGAAUAUGAAAUGAAUGCCGCUCUUGAUGAUGAGGAGCUCCACCAACCAUUCAACUUCAAACAGCCACAUUCAACAGUUCCUACAUUUGCAUCUGUAUGCAUCAAGGUCCGCAUACACUCUGAUGGGAGACCAUCUGCACCCUUUUCCUGAACAUGUCAGGCAGAGCAAGGCGAGAGCCUGCUGCUAUUCCAAUAAGGCUUUUCAGGGAAAUCUAUUGGCAUUUUCAAAAGAUCCCCUCAAACAUCUGUGCCCAACAAGCGCAGCAUCAGCAGGCAUGAGAAAAGUUUACGAUUUGUUCAAUUUGUUCUUGCGCUGAAGUAGAUCAAAAAGUAAAGUGCACAGAAAGGGCACAAACACUCCUACUUUAUGUUCACUCACUGAUUCAUACAGAAGUGACAGGAAGGAAAAUAAAUAGCAUUGUGUGGUAUUAGCGCGGCUUUGAAAGACACAAAGCGGAGUUUUACCCACGGUGCGCUUUCCUCCUCAACUCAACCACGAUGGGAGUCCCAGGCCAGUGCUUUGGGAAAAUUAGGAUUAAAACAGGAUUAAAAUAAAAGUACCACAAUAACAACCAACACCAUGACAAAAAAUAGUUGGUGAAGGGAAGGGAAAAAAAGCACAUUUUGCUGUUGAAUUGUACUUUGAGUCAGGUUGGUGAGCCCAAGGGACCCUUAGAUGGAUGGGGAGAGUUGAUACUAAUAGAUGAAUCAUCGACAGCCAAAGUGUGGAAUGGAGUGGAGGGCGUAACGUCAUUGACGAGAGACCCAUAUAUUAAGCCUGUCAGUUCCCCUUCCUUUUUAUGCCUCUGGCAAAGCGUGCUCAGGAGAAAUCAAUUUUUUGAGAAGCGGUAUGGAUGAGGACCAUAAUAAUAACAACGUCAUCUUCAGCUCCAGCCAGAAUAAGUUUGUCCAUCUUGCUCUUUCAGAAUCAAUGUGCCGCUGUCUGUCUUUGCUGUCUUGUGCUAGCUCCUGUAUGUCCGUGUUUGUGCAUGGGCUGGGUUCCAGUGGCAGGCAGGACAUAGGGGUGAUAAUGCCAGCAUCUGUCAGAGGAGCUUAGAUAUUCCUUUCCAAGCAAGCAGCAGGGACAGACUACAGACGUGUGCCAUUCCUUGGCAGCAGAGAAAAAAAAAUGGUAUGAAAUAAAAAUCAGUCAUUCUCUGUGUACUUUCAACCGCACUGGUUCAGGCUUUGCACCACAAAUGCUUCGAAAGAUAUGUUCAAAAACCAGCGCAAGGUUGUGAAAUUCCCAUGGACUUAAAUAGCCUCUGCUGCCCGUCUACAAGUUUAAGAAGAAACCUCUGCACAGCCUUUAAGGACACACAGCACAGAGCUACAUAUAUGUUAGGAAUUACAUUUAGAUAUUCAUAUAUUCUUUUUUUUUAAGAUUGUUUUUUCUGGCCUUUUACCUUUUUAUUCGAAAAAUAGGACCUAUAGACUGGAAAUGGGGAGGGAGAGGGGACAGCAAGCAGCAAAGGAUUUGAACCUGGGCUGUUCGGUUAGAACUUCUCGCUCACCAGGUGAGCUGUCUGCCCGCCCCAGAUAUUCAUUCAAUAAAACCAAUGGGGAUUGCUCACAACAUCCAGUUUGAACUUUUAAUAAUGUGCUUGUUUUUCAUUUACAACAAUGGGAGUGCUUGAAUUACAUAAAACGAAAAAUGGCAUAAAUUCAUCAAACCUUAAGUAAAGUCCCAGUUUUUUUAAUUGAAUUGCUGUUUGAUCUUGACAAGGUUUUUGUGCUCUGAUAGUUCUGUAAUGAGUUUUAAAAAUCAACUUGAUGAAUCACAUAUGUAUUUUUUUCAAUACCGCCACUGUUUUCUUUAAAGGUACUCUAACUAUAUUGGUAAAUGUAUUUUACGAUGGUGCCAAUCAGAAAUAAAGCCAGUAUAUUAAGUGGGGUCGGUAACUCCUUUGCUUGAAUACCUGACAGAUUAUAAAUGAAUAGACAAAUAAACUUACACAAGCCAAAAUGAUGCAGAGCUAAACAAACACUAAUGCUGUACAGUCAAUGCAGCUCCUCUCACAACGGAAAAUUUAAAGAUUUAAAUGUAGUGGUAAAAUCAAUAAAGUACUCAAAAGAAUGUCCACAGCAGGAAGGAUAUUAAGGUAAAUUGUAGCUCAUAAAUGAAAUAUGCCACCACUCUCUGAGAGAAAGAAAUACAUUGUGGCUAAAUUACGGCGCUAUGGUUUAUGAUCAACCCUGCUGCUCCAGGCUGUUCCGUUUCCUUUUUUCCAGACUGCACUCAACUGCAUGGGUAAGAAAACCUGCAACUAUUUUAUUCGUCUUAGCUCUCAUCAGGCACUGUAGCAAAUUGGACCAAGACUGCAGAAGUUUCAACUCACGCUUUAACACGAACCAACUUCAUCUUUUAACAAACUAACAACAAAAUAAAUCACAGAAGUAAAUAAAUCACAGUACAAGCACAAAGGGUACUAUCCUCUUUCUGUUAUAUAUAAAGUUAGCAAGUGAAGCAAGUAGUAUUGUCACCUUAUCAUUCAAAAACAUAAUGUAACAAUUAAAGCACCUUCUACUGUGUUAUUGUUCAGUACUUAAAUUGGCUGUUACCACAGAGAGUGUGCACCUGUCUAGCUUAGGAUCAAACAGGCAAUGCAAGAGUCUGUAACACCAUCUCAGACUGAUAGAAAUAUAAAAUGGUACUAUGCCUUAAGUUGUACUUAGCCAUCAGAAAGCCCAGAGGAAAAGAGAGUCCCCUGUCACCACCUGCGGUUCUUCAACUUGCUGACAUUAAGAAUUUAUGAGCUUAAAGAUUUGUCUAACGCGACUGCAACGUGUCUUGAAAAGUGUUAUGGAAGAGCAAACAAGUUGCUUUGUUGAUACUUGCCUGUUUGUCAAGAUGUGAUUGCACAAGAGAAAAUAUUCUCAAUAAAAGAAAAGCCUAUCCAAGA